Molecule: ribosomal RNA, 670 nt
Filed under: uncultured bacterium
Lineage: Bacteria
Description: bacterial SSU rRNA
Rfam family: Bacterial small subunit ribosomal RNA
Source: RNAcentral
UGAGUAACACGUGGGUAACCUGCCCUUAAGUGGGGGAUAACAUUUGGAAACAGAUGCUAAUACCGCAUAGAUCCAAGAACCGCAUGGUUCUUGGCUGAAAGAUGGCGUAAGCUAUCGCUUUUGGAUGGACCCGCGGCGUAUUAGCUAGUUGGUGAGGUAAUGGCUCACCAAGGCGAUGAUACGUAGCCGAACUGAGAGGUUGAUCGGCCACAUUGGGACUGAGACACGGCCCAAACUCCUACGGGAGGCAGCAGUAGGGAAUCUUCCACAAUGGACGCAAGUCUGAUGGAGCAACGCCGCGUGAGUGAAGAAGGCUUUCGGGUCGUAAAACUCUGUUGUUGGAGAAGAAUGGUCGGCAGAGUAACUGUUGUCGGCGUGACGGUAUCCAACCAGAAAGCCACGGCUAACUACGUGCCAGCAGCCGCGGUAAUACGUAGGUGGCAAGCGUUAUCCGGAUUUAUUGGGCGUAAAGCGAGCGGAGGCGGUUUUUUAAGUCUGAUGUGAAAGCCCUCGGCUUAACCGAGGAAGCGCAUCGGAAACUGGGAAACUUGAGUGCAGAAGAGGACAGUGGAACUCCAUGUGUAGCGGUGAAAUGCGUAGAUAUAUGGAAGAACACCAGCGGCGAAGGCGGCUGUCUGGUCUGUAACUGACGCUGAGGCUCGAAAGCAUG